This 254-nucleotide ribosomal RNA is filed under the name uncultured bacterium. RNAcentral describes it as "partial 16S ribosomal RNA". It matches the Rfam family "Bacterial small subunit ribosomal RNA", at positions 524 to 776 of the family's 1533-position model. The record is from RNAcentral.
UACAGAGGGUGCGAGCGUUGUCCGGAAUCACUGGGCGUAAAGGGCGCGUAGGUGGCGAUCCAAGUCCAUGGUGAAAGCUCGAUGCUCAACAUCGAGUCGGCCACGGAUACUGGGUUGCUUGAGCACUGUAGGGGCAGAUGGAAUUCCGGGUGUAGCGGUGGAAUGCGUAGAGAUCCGGAAGAACACCGGUGGCGAAGGCGGUCUGCUGGGCAGUUGCUGACACUGAGGCGCGGACAGCGUGGGGAGCAAACAGG